UUUCAAAGUGAGCGCGAAAGCUCCAACGA
This 29-nucleotide small RNA is filed under the name Bombyx mori (domestic silkworm). RNAcentral's name for it is "ovarian small RNA-956". Lineage: Eukaryota; Metazoa; Arthropoda; Insecta; Lepidoptera; Bombycidae. The record is from RNAcentral.